RNAcentral lists this long non-coding RNA (344 nucleotides) under Olea europaea (common olive). Its description in RNAcentral is "long non-coding RNA (OEUR_LNC001036)". The record is from RNAcentral. Lineage: Eukaryota; Viridiplantae; Streptophyta; Magnoliopsida; Lamiales; Oleaceae.
ACUAUGCCAAUAUUGAUAUACCCCGAGGAGUGUAUCCCGAGGACUCAAUCUAUACCCCACCUCAUUUCUCUUCUUCGGUCCUCGAGGUCAUCUAAGUCCUAGAGAUAUUGUAGUCCUCGAGAUACCUCGAGGACACAUUUACAUUCCCUCAAUGUCCUCGAGAAUAGUCCUCGAGACAUACACCACCAACAUACCUCCUAAGACCUGGGUACCUAACUAACAAACCUAAACACCCAAGGAUUCUACAUCAACCCUAACACCACUUGUCAAACAAUUCCAUUACAAGUAGGACAUUCUUUAUAAUAGAAAUUCCCUUGGAUAAAAACAUCCAACCAACACAAUCC